Capra hircus (goat) is the source of this 228-nucleotide long non-coding RNA. RefSeq lists it as uncharacterized. The record is from RefSeq and is a predicted model, not a curated record. NCBI's taxonomy places the organism in Eukaryota, Metazoa, Chordata, Mammalia, Artiodactyla, Bovidae. The transcript is spliced from 3 exons.
ACCCAUGUCUCCUACGCGGGCAGAGUGAAGCUGCAAAGCUGAGAAGACUUGAAUGGCCUUAUAUCUUCAAAGAAGUGCCUUGAGCUCUGGAAUGCCGCAGAGUGGGAGAAACCACCGAACACCAGGAAAUGUCAACAAUGUGACAGGAACGCCUGGGCAGGAAAACUCUCCAAGAAAGAUUCUGUAAACCUGCAAACAAGCAAAUUAUCUCACAUCUAUGCGGUUGCA